CAAUAGCGUAUAUUAAAGUUGUUGCGGUUAAAAAGCUCGUAGUUGGAUUUCUGCUGAGGACGACCGGUCCGCCCUCCGGGUGAGCAUCUGGUUCGGCCUUGGCAUCUUCUUGGUGAACGUAUCUGCACUUGACUGUGUGGUGCGGUACCCAGGACUUUUACUUUGAGGAAAUUAGAGUGUUUCAAGCAGGCAUACGCCUUGAAUACAUUAGCAUGGAAUAAUAAGAUAGGACUUUGGCGUCUAUUUUGUUGGUUUGCACACCAAGGUAAUGAUUAAUAGGGAUAGUUGGGGGUAUUCGUAUUUAAUUGUCAGAGGUGAAAUUCUUGGAUUUAUGAAAGACGAACUUCUGCGAAAGCAUUUACCAAAGAUGUUUUCAAGAACGUUAGGGGAUCGAAGAUGAUUAGAUACCGU
This 411-nucleotide ribosomal RNA is filed under the name uncultured eukaryote. RNAcentral describes it as "SSU rRNA". It matches the Rfam family "Eukaryotic small subunit ribosomal RNA", at positions 592 to 1018 of the family's 1831-position model. The record is from RNAcentral.